AUGACCAGGAAGAAGAAAGUGCGCAGGAGAAGCACUGGUCCUGAUUCGGUUGCUGAAACCAUCAAGAAGUGGAAGGAGGAAAACCAGAAGCUCCUGCAAGAGAAUGGAUCCCGGAAAGCACCGGCCAAGGGUUCCAAGAAAGGGUGCAUGGCAGGGAAAGGAGGUCCAGAGAAUUCAAACUGCGCUUACCGCGGUGUGAGGCAGAGGACGUGGGGCAAAUGGGUUGCUGAGAUCCGUGAGCCCAACCGUGGCAACCGGCUGUGGCUUGGUUCAUUCCCUACCGCAGUCGAAGCUGCACGUGCAUAUGAUGAUGCGGCAAGGGCAAUGUAUGGCGCCAAAGCACGUGUCAACUUCUCAGAGCAGUCCCCAGAUGCCAGCUCUGGUUGCACGCUGGCACCUCCAUUGCUGAUGUCUAAUGGGGCAACUGCCGCAUCACAUCCUUCUGAUGGGAAGGAUGAGUCUGAGUCUGCAGGGACCGUGGCACAUAAGGUGAAAAAAGAAGUGAGCAAUGAUUUGAGAAGUACCCAUGAGGAGCACAAGACCCUGGAAGUAUCCCAACCAAAAGGGAAGGCUUUACAUAAAGAAGCGAAUGAACUCGGGAUAGCGCUUAGGGUUGGCAUUAAAUUGAGGCAUAUUAGGAAGUCAUAUUUCUGCAGGUGUUACUAUAUAUUGAAUUACUGUAGAAAGGUGCAGCCACACAAACUUACUGAUCUGUGCCCACAAAACAGAGUGGCUGAAAGCAGCCUCGCAGUGGAAGACAGAGGUCAAUCCACUGGCCAUACAAGACAAAGUAGUUCAUCAUCGUUAAGAAGUGAGCCGAUUCCAACUAUUUAUUCCGAACAGCACAAGAGCAUGCUUGGAGAUGGCGGACCCAUUAGCAUUCAGAAAGAACAUCCAGCUUCGAGACAAUUAAAGGUUAAGCAAUGCCCGGUUCAGAAACUUCAGAGACUGCCAGAUGGGUACCAUCCUGAUUUUGACAAUGACCAUUUAUAUUCUGCCAACAAGCUCCUGGAGUCCUGGUCUAAAUCUCAUGGCUCUGUUCUUGUUGAUGAUAAGGAACAUAUAUUAAAGACCAUCUUAUUCUCAAUGGUUGUGUUGGCUGAUGCUCGCCAACCUUUUCUGAUUGUCACUACUACUGCUUCUCUCUCCUUAUGGGAGGUUCAGUUCAAUAAAUUAGCACCACAUAUCAAUGUUGUUGUGCAUGAUGGGCGGGCAGACAUGCUCAAGUUGAUUCAAGCUCAGGAGUUCAACGAGAAUGGAAGCCACAUAACGUCACAAGUUCUCUUAUCCCAUCCUGAGGCUAUCUUAGAGGACAUUGAGCCUAUUGCACGUAUUGGUUGGGAGGCAAUCAUAGUUGAUUAUUAUCAACACUUGGCUCUAAAAUAUCUGGAACAGCUGAAGCAACUUUGUACUGGUUUUAGAGUGUUGCUUGUGAGCUCCCCAAUUGAGGAUAUCCCUGAGUACAUGGACAUGCUAGCUUUCCUUAAAUCAGGACAGAAAGAUAAUAGUGGCUAUGUUGACACUGCUGAUGCCCUUGAGAUGUUAAAAAGAAGAUUUGCACAUCAUAUUGCAUAUGAGCGCAAAGAAGAUUCUUCAAAAUUUCUAGAGCACUGGGUUCCUGCUUACAUUUCACAAGUGCAGCUAGGUGUCUAUUGUUCCAUUCUGCUUUCAAAUUCAUCUGUCCUCCAGUCUAGGAAGAAAGCUAAUAGUGUUGAAGCUCUUCGGGACAUUCUCUUGUCUCUCUCAAAGUGCUGUAAUCACCCUUACCUCCGUGAAUGUCUGGAAGCUUCACCUGUCAACAAUCCUGAUAUGACUGAAACAGUAGAUAUUGGAGUGCAUGCAAGCGGCAAGCUACUACUUCUUGACAAAAUGCUUAAAGAGAUCAGCAACAGGAGGUUGAGAGUCAUUGUUCUUUUUCAGUCUGGUGGAGCAGGUGCAAACCCAAUGGGUGACAUUCUGGAAGGUGUUGUGUGUCAUAGAUUUGGCCCUGAGUCUUAUGAACGUGUCAAAUGUGGUGCGGUGAUGUCAAGUAAACAGGCGGCAAUUGAUAUGUUCAAUGACAAGACCAAGGGGAGAUUUGUUUUACUGAUUGAAAGUCGUGCAUGCCUCCCAAGCAUUAAGCUACUAUCAGUUGAUGCAGUCAUCAUAUAUAGCAGCGACUGGAACCCAUCUAAUGACCUGAAAGCUCUUCAAAGAAUCAACAUAGAGUCACAACUUAAGUAUGUGAGCAUUUUCCGAUUGUAUACUCCUUUCACAGUUGAGGAGAACAGCUUUGUGCUUGCAAAGCAGGGCAGGCUUAUUGAUAAUAACAUCCAGGAUGUAAUGCACACUUCAAGCCAUUCCUUACUCAGUUGGGGUGCACAAUUUCUCUUCACCAGAUUUGAUGAGCUUAUGCAAGAUAGGUAUUUAAGCAAGCAUUCUGAAAGGGGCACCAGUUUUAUGGAUGAAGUGAUAUUAGAGUUCGUAACAAAAUUACCCACAAAUACAGAAGACAGCUCCAAAAUAAACAGUGUGUACAUAUCGAAAGCUAAUAUGAGUGGGGAGUUUUAUUCAAGAAGCAUUACUGUAAUUGGUGAAAAGGAGGGAAUGUCUAUGCUGGAUGGGGAUCCAUCUGUAUUUUGGUUAAAUUUACUGGAUGGAAAAUCUCCUUGUUGGAGCUAUAUAUCUGAGCUAACACAGUCAAUCAAUGGAAUGCUACAGAACAUAGAAGAACCAGCCCAAGUUGCUGCCGAAGAAACUGAUGAAGCUACCAAUGUGUCAGUCACACAGCAAAGAGAAUGUCAUGUGUCUGUCACACAGCAAAGAGAAUGCCAUGUGUCAGUUGAUGUAUUUCCCAACAUGGCUGUGGAGAGAAGAAUUGAUUUAGUGGAUGAUGUCUUCUCUUUGAGAGAAAAUAAUAUCAUUCAUAAGCAACAAGCUGAGAUAUCAAAUUUAGUGACACACUCACAGCAUAAACAAAUCCUGAGAAUUGGAGCAACUCAGAUAUGUGGAUCGAGCAUGCAUAUGCAACAAUUGAGAACUCUGCCUGCCCAACAAAGUUUAGCAACCUUGCCCCAUCCACCUGCAGAAGCAGUGCCAGCAGGUAUUCCUGGCAUGGAGGCCACGACAUGUUUACAGUCAAUGCAGUAUCAACCUACAGAGGCAGAAUGGGGAGGUAUACUGGGCGCAUUAGCAGCCCACGGUUCGCAGCCUGAAAUGCAACCAUCAACCUCAAUGCAGGAUGUUUUAUUUGAAAAGACUGAUCUGUCUGGCAUGCCUUUGCUAGGAAGUAUGAAUGCUCGUCAAAGUGUAGAACCUUCAUUGGAUCUGCACGCAGGAGAAGAACCAGCAGGCACUUUGGGCAUGGUGACAACUGAUCAGCUGCAGUCUGAAAUACAACAAUCAGCCACAGUACAUGAUCGGCCUGCAGAAGCAGAAGGAACAAGUACAUUAGGCACCAGGGCACUUCAGAAUUUGCACCCUGAAAUGCAAUCAUCAACCGUAAUGCAUCAUGUCCCUCUUGAAAGAGCACACUCUGAAGGCAGGAGCCAAACAGGAUUUCAGCCAAAUACAUCACCUGGUCCUGAGCAGCUCAGCCAACUCCUUUUUUUCGAGGAAGAGCUCAACCAAGUCCUAUCUGCUAGUGACCAGCCACAGGAAGAUAUGUCGAAAAUGUACAAACAUCACAUCAAUUUGCUUAGAGAAGCCCAUGAACAGAAGAUAUCACAACUUCAAAUAGAGCGUUACCGGGAAAUAGAAAAUGUGAACAGAAAGUAUUACUCAUUACUCCAAAAAGAAGAUCCCACUUUACCUCACAGCCAGAUGGGACUUGUUGAUAGCUACAAGGAAGCUUCUGUAAACAAAUCACCAGCUCAAGAUUUUCUAGGGGAAGUUGCACCAUCAUCUGCAGCUCAAGGGAGAUCUGAGAGGCCUGCAAUGGUGCUGCCACCUAAGUCUUCACCAGCUCAAACCACAGCAUCACCAGGGUGUAGGAGCACAUUCACCUCCUGCCGCUUCACCUCCAGCAGCACAUGGCCAAGUGGUGACAUGGAGGACUUUGCAUCGACAAGUCUAGGUGUGAUCUGCAGCAUGACACGAGAUGGGAAAUGCUUCUCUUCAGAACCAUAUCCGCGCUCCGCCAUGAGGGUCUCGGAGACCAAAGGGUCCACGUCGCACCUGAUAUCGAGGAAUGCUACAGCUAGCUGGACCACGCCUUCAAGUUGCUGA
This 4206-nucleotide ribosomal RNA is filed under the name Triticum aestivum (bread wheat). RNAcentral's name for it is "partial small subunit ribosomal RNA". Lineage: Eukaryota; Viridiplantae; Streptophyta; Magnoliopsida; Poales; Poaceae. The record is from RNAcentral.